CUGUGACAGGUGCCCCCCCCGGGGGGACCCUGCCAGAGAUAGCACCCCUUGUCUUUUCCGAGCACCCAACCGUUUCCUCGGCGGGCCCGCCCGCCAACGGGGACCAACCACAAACCUUACACCGCAGUUAAGCAGUAAACCGUACAAAACCCAAAAAAUCA
RNAcentral lists this unclassified non-coding RNA (161 nucleotides) under soil metagenome. RNAcentral's name for it is "partial internal transcribed spacer 1". The record is from RNAcentral.